Molecule: ribosomal RNA, 497 nt
Filed under: uncultured bacterium
Lineage: Bacteria
Description: partial 16S ribosomal RNA
Rfam family: Bacterial small subunit ribosomal RNA
Source: RNAcentral
GAUGAACGCUGGCGGCGUGCCUAAUACAUGCAAGUCGAGCGAACAGACGAGGAGCUUGCUCCUCUGACGUUAACGGCGGACGGGUGAGUAACACGUGGAUAACCUACCUAUAAGACUGGGAUAACUUCGUGAAACCGCAGCUAAUACCGGAUAAUAUAUUGAACCGCAUGGUUCAAUAGUGAAAGACGCUUUUGCUGUCACUUAUAGAUGGAUCCGCGCCGGAUUAGCUAGUUGGUAAGGUAACGGCUUACCAAGGCAACGAUGCGUAGCCGACCUGAGAGGGUGAUCGGCCACACUGGAACUGAGACACGGUCCAGACUCCUACGGGAGGCAGCAGUAGGGAAUAUUCGGCAAUGGGCGAAAGCCUGAUGGAGCAACGCCGCGUGAGUGAUGAAGGUCUUCGGAUCGUAAAACUCUGUUAUUAGGAAAGAAAAAAUGUGUAAGUAACUAUGCACGUCUUGACGGUACCUAAUCAGAAAGCCACGGCUAACUACGUG